This 253-nucleotide ribosomal RNA is filed under the name uncultured bacterium. RNAcentral describes it as "partial 16S ribosomal RNA". It matches the Rfam family "Bacterial small subunit ribosomal RNA", at positions 524 to 776 of the family's 1533-position model. The record is from RNAcentral.
UACGUAGGGUGCGAGCGUUAAUCGGAAUUAUUGGGCGUAAAGGGCGCGUAGGCGGCUUGGCAAGUGGAAGGUGAAAUCCCUCGGCUUAACCGAGGAACUGCCUUCCAGACUGCUUUGCUUGAGGCCGGGAGAGGUGAGUGGAAUUCCCAGUGUAGCGGUGAAAUGCGUAGAUAUUGGGAGGAACACCAGUGGCGAAGGCGGCUCACUGGACCGGUUCUGACGCUGAGGCGCGAAAGCGUGGGGAGCAAACGGG